This 301-nucleotide ribosomal RNA is filed under the name uncultured bacterium. RNAcentral describes it as "partial 16S ribosomal RNA". It matches the Rfam family "Bacterial small subunit ribosomal RNA", at positions 509 to 809 of the family's 1533-position model. The record is from RNAcentral.
CAGUAGCCGCGGUAAUACAGAGGGUGCGAGCGUUAAUCGGAUUUACUGCGUAAAGCGUGCGUAGGCGGCUUCUUAAGUCGGAUGUGAAAUCCCUGAGCUUAACUUAGGAAUUGCAUUCGAUACUGGGAAGCUAGAGUAUGGGAGAGGAUGGUAGAAUUCCAGGUGUAGCGGUGAAAUGCGUAGAGAUCUGGAGGAAUACCGAUGGCGAAGGCAGCCAUCUGGCCUAAUACUGACGCUGAGGUACGAAAGCAUGGGGAGCAAACAGGAUUAGAUACCCCCGUAGUCCCUGUCUCUUAUACAC